GAUGAACGCUAGCGGCAGGCCUAAUACAUGCAAGUCGAACGGUAAGGCCCUUUCGGGGUACACGAGUGGCGGACGGGUGCGUAACGCGUAUGCAACAUGCCUUCCAGCGGGGGAUAUACCAGGGAAACUUGGCGCAAUACCCCAUAGAAUUACGGGACCGCAUGGUCUUGUGAUUAAAAACUCCGGUGCUGGGAGAUUGGCAUGCGUGACAUUAGCUAGUUGGCGGGGUAACGGCCCACCAAGGCGACGAUGUCUAGCUGGUCUGAGAGGAUGAUCAGCCACACUGGGACUGAGACACGGCCCAGACUCCUACGGGAGGCAGCAGUGGGGAAUAUUGGACAAUGGGGGGAACCCUGAUCCAGCAAUGCCGCGUGUGUGAAGAAGGCCUGCGGGUUGUAAAGCACUUUAGUUAGGGAGAGUGUUUGAAGGUUAAGAGCUAUCAAGCAGGACGUUACCUAAAGAUAAGCACGGCUAACUCCGUGCCAGCAGCCGCGGUAA
This 498-nucleotide ribosomal RNA is filed under the name uncultured bacterium. Its description in RNAcentral is "bacterial SSU rRNA". It matches the Rfam family "Bacterial small subunit ribosomal RNA", at positions 28 to 523 of the family's 1533-position model. The record is from RNAcentral.